GACGGAGGGGGCUAGCGUUGUUCGGAAUGACUGGGCGUAAAGGGCGCGUAGGCGGUGCUAUAAGUGAGGCGUGAAAGCCCUGGGCUUAACCCAGGAGGUGCGUUUCAUACUGUGGUGCUAGAGUGCGAGAGAGGAAAGUGGAAUUCCUAGUGUAGAGGUGAAAUUCGUAGAUAUUAGGAAGAACACCAGAGGCGAAGGCGGCUUUCUGGCUCGCAACUGACGCUGAGGCGCGAAAGCGUGGGGAGCAAACAGG
This 253-nucleotide ribosomal RNA is filed under the name uncultured bacterium. RNAcentral describes it as "partial 16S ribosomal RNA". It matches the Rfam family "Bacterial small subunit ribosomal RNA", at positions 524 to 776 of the family's 1533-position model. The record is from RNAcentral.